Phrynosoma platyrhinos (Desert horned lizard) is the source of this 72-nucleotide non-coding RNA. Lineage: Eukaryota; Metazoa; Chordata; Lepidosauria; Squamata; Phrynosomatidae. The record is from the annotation of a GenBank genome assembly.
AGCAGCAUGGUGUAGUGGUUUGAGCAUUGGGCUACAACUCUGGAGGCCAGGGUUUGAAUCCCUGUUCAGCCA